RNAcentral lists this ribosomal RNA (454 nucleotides) under uncultured bacterium. Its description in RNAcentral is "bacterial SSU rRNA". It matches the Rfam family "Bacterial small subunit ribosomal RNA", at positions 341 to 784 of the family's 1533-position model. The record is from RNAcentral.
UCGGAAGGCAGCAGUGGGGAAUAUUGCACAAUGGGCGCAAGCCUGAUGCAGCCAUGCCGCGUGUAUGAAGAAGGCCUUCGGGUUGUAAAGUACUUUCAGCGGGGAGGAAGGCGAUGCGGUUAAUAACCGCGUCGAUUGACGUUACCCGCAGAAGAAGCACCGGCUAACUCCGUGCCAGCAGCCGCGGUAAUACGGAGGGUGCAAGCGUUAAUCGGAAUUACUGGGCGUAAAGCGCACGCAGGCGGUCUGUUAAGUCAGAUGUGAAAUCCCCGGGCUUAACCUGGGAACUGCAUUUUGAAACUGGCAGGCUUGAGUCUUGUAGAGGGGGUAGAAUUCCAGGUGUAGCGGUGAAAUGCGUAGAGAUCUGGAGGAAUACCGGUGGCGAAGGCGGCCCCUGGGACAAAGACUGACGCUCAGGGUGCGAAAGCGUGGGGAGCAAACGAGGAUUAGGAUA